AGGACGAACGCUGGCGGCGUGCUUAACACAUGCAAGUGGAGCGACGAACCGGGGCUUGCCCCGGGGCAGAGCCGCGAACGGGUGAGUAACACGUGGGUUACCUGCCUUGAUGACCGGGACAACCCGAGGAAACUCGGGCUAAUACCGGAUGUGCCCGCAAGGGGAAAGGAAGCUUCGGCCUCCGCAUCAAGAUGGGCCCGCGGCCCAUUAGCUUGUUGGUGAGGUAACGGCUCACCAAGGCUUCGAUGGGUAGCUGGUCUGAGAGGACGAUCAGCCACACUGGGACUGAGACACGGCCCAGACUCCUACGGGAGGCAGCAGUGGGGAAUAUUGGACAAUGCCCGCAAGGGUGAUCCAGCCAUGCCGCGUGCAGGAAGACGGCCCUAUGGGUUGUAAACUGCUUUUACACCGGACGAAACCCCCUACGUGUAGGGGGCUGAUAGUAUGGUGAGAAUAAGCAUCGGCUAACUUCGUGCCAGCAGCCGCGGU
Molecule: ribosomal RNA, 489 nt
Filed under: uncultured bacterium
Lineage: Bacteria
Description: SSU rRNA
Rfam family: Bacterial small subunit ribosomal RNA
Source: RNAcentral